RNAcentral lists this ribosomal RNA (451 nucleotides) under uncultured Fibrobacter sp. RNAcentral's name for it is "partial 16S ribosomal RNA". It matches the Rfam family "Bacterial small subunit ribosomal RNA", at positions 341 to 792 of the family's 1533-position model. The record is from RNAcentral. Lineage: Bacteria; Pseudomonadati; Fibrobacterota; Fibrobacteria; Fibrobacterales; Fibrobacteraceae.
ACGGAAGGCAGCAGUAGGGAAUAUUGCACAAUGGGGGAAACCCUGAUGCAGCAACGCCACGUGUGGGAAGAAGCAUUUCGGUGUGUAAACCACUGUCGUGAGGGAAUAAUGCUUGGCCUUGGCCAAGUUGAAUGUACCUCGAAAGGAAGCACCGGCAAACUUCGUGCCAGCAGCCGCGGUAAUACGAGGGGUGCAAGCGUUGUUCGGAAUCACUGGGCGUAAAGGGAGCGCAGGCGGAGAUGCAAGCAGUCUGUACAAUCCCGGGGCCCAACCCCGGACCUGCAGUCUGGACUGUUUCUCUUGGAUAGUUCAGGGGCAAGCGGAAUUCCUGGUGUAGCGGUGGAAUGCGUAGAGAUCAGGAAGAACACCGAUGGCGAAGGCAGCCAGCUGGGGGCUUAUCGACGCUCAUGCUCGAAAGUGCGGGUAGCAAACAGGAUUAGAUACCCUGGUA